RNAcentral lists this ribosomal RNA (253 nucleotides) under uncultured bacterium. RNAcentral describes it as "partial 16S ribosomal RNA". It matches the Rfam family "Bacterial small subunit ribosomal RNA", at positions 524 to 776 of the family's 1533-position model. The record is from RNAcentral.
UACGAAGGGGGCUAGCGUUGCUCGGAAUCGCUGGGCGUAAAGCGCACGUAGGCGGCUCUUUAAGUCAGGGGUGAAAUCCCAAGGCUCAACCUUGGAACUGCCUUUGAUACUGGGGAUCUCGAGUCCGGAAGAGGUUGGUGGAACUGCGAGUGUAGAGGUGAAAUUCGUAGAUAUUCGCAAGAACACCAGUGGCGAAGGCGGCCAACUGGUCCGGUACUGACGCUGAGGUGCGAAAGCGUGGGGAGCAAACAGG